GUGGGCGGGAGAGAGGGGCGGCUUAGCUUCUGAUUGGUGCACUUCCUUUGAUGGAUGGCCCCAGCCGUCCAAAGAGGGCUGGCCUGGGAGGGAAGAAGUCCAGCCAAUCGGCACACACUUCCCAUUAUCCCGGAGCCAAAUUCUCCGCCCCCUGAGGCCACGCCCCUUGCCUCUCAGCUUCUCUCCGUGGAGAGUUUCCUAAAGUGUUUUCAACCAAGAGGUGGUCCAACUAAGUGGUGUACGCGCUCUGUCCCGGUUAAGUGCAGCAAGAACCAAAGCUCAGAAUAAUGGCCUUGAGGUUGGGCAAGAAUCCCAGGCAGUCACAGGAAGAUUUAAUCAUAUUCUCUACAUUGUAGACUGCAGAAGUGCCUUUGAGCAACAAAAGUUAUAACAAACAACAGGAGGACAAACAUUUCUCUCCAUGCACCUGUGCAAUGAAAUCAGGCGAGUGGCAAUCCCAGGACAGGAGCCAUGGAACUCAGAGCCACCGCUCAGCCUCUCAGUCGCGUGGUCCCAGCAGCGGCAGACACGGGGAGGGCGGCCUGGCCUCCCGGGGUGGGAGUGAGGGGCCAGGUGCCGCAGGAAGUGAGGGGCGCGGCACUGCCCGGUGCUGGUGGGAGAGUGUGGGGAAGGGGGUGGGGAGCCAAGCGCCCGGGUGGGCCCCGACCACAGGGAGCAGCACGGUGGCAUCAGCUGUCCCAUCAGAGCUACCCUGGGGGCCGGAAUCAGGCUGCGCUGGGAGGAAGAGCCCAUGGCAGAAGAGGAGCACAUGCUGACUGCCUUCCUCCUGCGCACGGAGCUCCUGGUGACCCAGCUGCACCUGGCAAGGGAAAGAGCGCUCCCGAGAUCUGAUGAAGACCGUCUGCUACUAGAUGCCUGAGUGCUUGCACAUCAGCUUGACUUACCAGAGGAUAUUUUCUUAACAAUUGCAUUAAAAAAAAAUCAAAUGGACCAGUGAAGUGUUUUCAAAGGAGUAGUCCUUGAAAAGGGACUCUUUUGGGAAUAGCAUGGCAGGUUAGGAGAUCUCCUGCACCCUAGCAUUUGGUCCAGUUGACAUAGACUGUUGAGUGCAGGGCUCAAAGCCAAGAUCAGCUAGUAAUAAAAAGGGUUUGUAUUUGUUAUAUGCUUCCCAUGUGGCAGGGUGUGUAUUGAAUUUAAACCCAUAUGAUCUUACUUAGUUCUCUAACAAUUCUGAUAUUAUUAUUAUUAUUAUUAUUAUAUUAUUAUUAUUCAGAAGUGAGGGAUAUCCUGUAUACUUCUUAUUUGGUAGCUACCAUUUACUGUUUAAUGAAUAUAGAUUAUACAUAACUUGAAUUUGGAUAUUAUUGCAUUAAAAAUAGCUUUUAUUUUGGAAUAUUUCAGACUCAUUAGUCAGCUUCAGUAGCUAUCAACAUUUUGAUCAUGUUGCCUAUUUACUUUUUGUUUGUCUGAACAUUCAACAAGUAUUUACUGAGGACUUUGAAGGUGCCAGACCAUUGUAUUUUGUAGUCCUAGACUAAAAAUAUAACUUUUGGGCCACAGGGUGGGUUGGUUAUUGUUCUCUGUGAAGAUAAGAAGUUGGAAGGAUAAACUGGAUCAUUGUCAUCCAGGUGCAUUUCUUUAGUCUGAAGUCCAUGCUGGAGGAUUCUCUGUGGUCUGCUGCUUUAGUAGGACAAGGUGGGGAUGGGGAGGGGAUAGCAAUUCCCUUCCUUAUAAAGGUUUCUGCCUAGGCUGCUACCCAUUCUUCCCAAAAGCGCAUGCACAUAUACCUUCACAUCUACACAAAAGGUUUUGACAGAGUUGAGAUUUGGAAAAUGAAGCAUUACAUUUUCUGAUCUUGCUCUUUUGUCCAGUUGCAUUGUACUAGAAUAACGUUAUGUCAUAGGUCAGAACUUCUGUUCUCUAUGUUAGCCUUAAACUGGUCAGGGCCUUCCUUGCUUCAUGUCACCAUGUUCCUCAUUUCUUUAGCUUCUUCACUCUAACUCCUGAACUGAGUUUUGAAAGGUUUAGCCAACUGAAGAGGCUGGUACAAAGGGCAUUCCAGACAAAAGUAGCAAUACGUGGAAAGGUACAGAGGAAAGAGAGAGUGACAACUCACUCCACAAAUGGAAUAGAGUUUACUCUGGCUAAAGGUUGGAGGGUGUUGAGGGUGUGUCUACCAAUGAGAUGGAGGAGAAAAGCACUGUUUAUCCUAAAGAGCCAUGUAGACCAUGUAUACCAUUCUUGGAUUUUUUGGACUUUAUUCUACAGGUUUUAGAGAACCAGCCAUGGAACUUAAAGAGAUUGUCACAAUUGGAUUGUGAUUUAGAAUGACCCCUGGGCAUCAGCAUGAGGGCUGAAGAGAGGGCCAAGAGUGGAGUUCAGAAGAGUAGUUGAGAGACCAUUGCCUUAACCUAGGAAAAGAAGUGACAAGAUUGAAGCAAGGUAGAAUCAGCAAUCAGCAUUAUUAUUUUCCAAACACUGCCUUCAGCUAGACUCUGGAUCGCCUUCUCCAACUCAGAAGAUAUCUUCAGCAGAUGUCACAUACUUUUAGGCCUUUCUGUAUCUCCUGCCAGAAAUGUCAUUAGUCACAUGUUUGAAAUAGACAAUGUCACACCAAGUUAAAGCAGCAAGGGAGAAGAAGAAAUUCUCAGCACAUUUUGUACAAAGCAUCCAAAAAACGGACUAGGA
Molecule: long non-coding RNA, 2649 nt
Organism: Canis lupus familiaris (dog)
Lineage: Eukaryota; Metazoa; Chordata; Mammalia; Carnivora; Canidae
Exons: 5
Source: RefSeq, a predicted model, not a curated record